AAACCAAAUUUGUAGAUGAUGUGGCCACUCCGAAUCCCUCACAGCUCCAAGCCUACUAUGGUUGGGGAUUUCCUGCAGAGAUGAAAAUAAAGGGUGAGUUCGGUAACUCAGUGUGUAACAUAACCCUACCAUAGCCCAAAAUAGAUCAAACCUCAGAGUCAGACUUAUCUGGGCCUUGGCCCAAUACAGAAAUCAGAAUGAAACCAAUAGGCCCAUAGCAGAUACAGAACAAAUAUAUCAUGAAUGCAGAAAUCCCAACCCAGAGCCAUCCAUAACACCCCCGUACCAGCCAUACACCAUGUGGGGAGACUACUCGACCUACCCAACCGCUACACACCACAAAAAUUGCAGUGAGGCUGCCAGAUAUUGUGACGAAGUCACCAGAUACAGAUAUUGUGGCUAGGCCACCAGAAUAGAUAUAUAUAUGUGGCGAAGCCACCAGAUUGCAACGAGGCUGCCAGAUAUUGUGAUGAAGUCACCAGAACAGAUAUAUGUGGCGAGGCCACCAGAUUGCAGCGAGGCUGCCAGAACACUUCCUCCAUCAAUAUAAACCCAUGUCCCAUGCAACAGAAAUAAUAUGUCAUGGCAUACGUAUACAGAAAUAGAACAUCAUGCUUUUCAGAAAAAAAUAACCCUAGGGGUAAAAUCGUAAUUUUGCAUGCAUAAGGGUAUUUCAGUAAUUAUUACCUAUUGCUAAUGUUUCAUGCUCAUUCUAACGUUUACCAAGUAAUCAGAAGUACUUACCUCGUCUUUUUACCAAAGUGGGCCCGUUGGCCCAUUGGCCCGUUUUCGGCCCGUUAAGCCCAAAAAUACCGUUGUGCACAAAAAUGCACACUCUGCACUCUAAUCAUCCAAAUGCACCAUAUUCAGUAACAACUGUCUCAUGAGCGCUCGCACGUUCGCGAGUUCACAAAAUACCAACGUUUCGGUAUUUCGGCUUUUACCGAUUCAGUCUAAGGGAGGGUGUCGUUUACACAUCUCGUUGAUGACGAUUGAUGAUGAUAUCUCCCACGCGAUAAUCCUAUUAGGAGACUGCAGUUAAUCCACGCUCCAAACACUCUUAGCUGACGCCCAACCCAAACGAGCACGUCACAAAACGAAAGGGAUCAGCCAAAAAGGGUAUGCCUACUCUCCUCAUGGUUUGCUCUAUUAAAAGCCAGCUCUCCAUCCACUCUUAUGUUAGCUUCCCGAUGUGGGAUCCCUCCAUCACCAGAGUUUAAAACCAACAUCAACUCUUGCCGUCCCAACAUAGCAAAAUAAUCAACCUUUGCGUGCCAAGGGAUUCGAACCAAAGUCCUCUCACAUGCCAACUCACGCCACCACCACUAGGCCAUCAACUCAUUUGUGUCAUAAAUCCAACACAUUAAACUUUAAAGUGCACCUACUUGCUUCAAGGUUUAUUGAAAAGAAAAACCAAAAUAUAUUGCAAGAGCCAAGACUUGAACCUUGGAACCCUUUCUUCCUCUAUGGCGUGACUUCCUUGUCCCCUAAGUGGAGCCACCUUGCUACUACACCACACUCCUUUUUGUGUCAUCUUUUACCCUUUUACUCUUAAAAGCCUAAACGCCAAUUGCAUUGCUUGUUCAUAAAAUUAAAAUUUCGAAGACUACCACGGAUUUAACUUAAGUUUGGGCCUUCCAAAGGCCAACUAACCUACUAAAAUAUAUAUUUUAACCAACCAGAACACACACAAAUUUUAAAAAUCACAGAAACACAGAAAACCCAAAAAUUGGGGCGUUACAACUCUACCCUCCUUAAAGAAAUUUCAUCCUCGAAAUUUUACCUGAAUCAAACAGAUGAGGAUAUUAUUGACGCAUCGCCACUUCUGGCUCCCAAAUAGCUUCUUCUCUGCCAUGAUUACGCCACAGCACCUUUACUAGCGGAACUAAUUUCCUCUUCAAAAUCUUAACAUCUCGAUCCAAAAUCUACACAGGCUCUUCCUCAAAAGUCAAGUCUGUUUGGACCUCGAUCUCUGCAACCGGC
This 1983-nucleotide long non-coding RNA is filed under the name Gossypium barbadense (sea-island cotton). RNAcentral describes it as "long non-coding RNA (GBAR_LNC002191)". The record is from RNAcentral. Lineage: Eukaryota; Viridiplantae; Streptophyta; Magnoliopsida; Malvales; Malvaceae.